GAUGAACGCUGGCGGCGUGCCUAAUACAUGCAAGUCGAGCGAACGGACGAGAAGCUUGCUUCUCUGAUGUUAGCGGCGGACGGGUGAGUAACACGUGGAUAACCUACCUAUAAGACUGGGAUAACUUCGGGAAACCGGAGCUAAUACCGGAUAAUAUUCUGAACCGCAUGGUUCAAAAGUGAAAGACGGUCUUGCUGUCACUUAUAGAUGGAUCCGCGCUGCAUUAGCUAGUUGGUAAGGUAACGGCUUACCAAGGCAACGAUGCAUAGCCGACCUGAGAGGGUGAUCGGCCACACGGGAACUGAGACACGGUCCAGACUCCUACGGGAGGCAGCAGUAGGGAAUCUUCCGCAAAGGGCGAAAGCCUGACGGAGCAACGCCGCGUGAGUGAUGAAGGUCUUCGGAUCGUAAAACUCUGUUAUUAGGGAAGAACAUAUGUGUAAGUAACUGUGCACAUCUUGACGGUACCUAAUCAGAAAGCCACGGCUAACUACGUG
This 497-nucleotide ribosomal RNA is filed under the name uncultured bacterium. RNAcentral's name for it is "partial 16S ribosomal RNA". It matches the Rfam family "Bacterial small subunit ribosomal RNA", at positions 28 to 507 of the family's 1533-position model. The record is from RNAcentral.